Molecule: ribosomal RNA, 253 nt
Filed under: uncultured bacterium
Lineage: Bacteria
Description: partial 16S ribosomal RNA
Rfam family: Bacterial small subunit ribosomal RNA
Source: RNAcentral
UACAGAGGUCCCAAGCGUUGUUCGGAUUCACUGGGCGUAACGGGUGCGUAGGCGGUCGGGUAAGUCUGACGUGAAAUCUUCAAGCUCAACUUGGAAACUGCGUCGGAUACUAUUCGGCUAGAGGAAUGGAGGGGAGACUGGAAUACUUGGUGUAGCAGUGAAAUGCGUAGAUAUCAAGUGGAACACCAGUGGCGAAGGCGAGUCUCUGGACAUUUCCUGACGCUGAGGCACGAAAGCCAGGGGAGCAAACGGG